CCUACGGGGGGCAGCAGUGAGGAAUAUUGGUCAAUGGGCGCGAGCCUGAACCAGCCAAGCAGCGUGAAGGAUGAAUGCCCUACGGGUUGUAAACAUCUUUUAUAAGGGAAUAAAGUGAGGCACGAGUGCCUUUUUGUAUGUACUUUAUGAAUAAGGAUCGGCUAACUCCGUGCCAGCAGCCGCGGUAAUACGGAGGAUCCGAGCGUUAUCCGGAUUUAUUGGGGUUCAAGGGAGCGUAGAUGGGUUGUUAAGUCAGUUGUGAAAGCUUGUGGCUCAACCGGACAAUUGCAGUUGAUACUGGCAGUCUUGAGUACAGUAGAGGUAGGCGGAAUUCGAGGUGUAGCGGUGAAAUGCUUAGAUAUCACGAAGAACUCCGAUUGCGAAGGCAGCUUACUGGACGGACACUGACAUUGAUGCUCGAAAGCGUGGGUAUCAAACAGGAUUAGAUACCCCGGUAGUC
Molecule: ribosomal RNA, 460 nt
Filed under: uncultured bacterium
Lineage: Bacteria
Description: partial 16S ribosomal RNA
Rfam family: Bacterial small subunit ribosomal RNA
Source: RNAcentral